GAUGAAGAACGCAGCGAAAUGCGAUAAGUAAUGUGAAUUGCAGAAUUCAGUGAAUCAUCGAAUCUUUGAACGCACAUUGCGCCCGCCAGCACUCUGGCGGGCAUGCCUGUUCGAGCGUCAUUUCAACCAUCAAGCCCCCAGGGGCUUGUGCUGGGGCCCUGCGGCUGCCCGCAGGCCCUGAAAACCAGUGGCGGGCUCGCUAGUCACACCGAGCGCAGUAGCACAUCUCGCUCAGGGCGUGACAGCUUGUACCGGCCGUGAAACUCUCACUAAGGUUGACCUCGGAUCAGGUAGGAAUACCCGCUGAACUUAAGCAUAUCAAUAAGCGGAGGA
Molecule: unclassified non-coding RNA, 333 nt
Filed under: soil metagenome
Description: partial contains 5.8S ribosomal RNA, internal transcribed spacer 2, and large subunit ribosomal RNA
Rfam family: 5.8S ribosomal RNA (bases 1-120)
Source: RNAcentral